Molecule: ribosomal RNA, 499 nt
Filed under: uncultured bacterium
Lineage: Bacteria
Description: bacterial SSU rRNA
Rfam family: Bacterial small subunit ribosomal RNA
Source: RNAcentral
AGGUGGUUAUGUAAGUCUGAUGUGAAAAUGCAGGGCUCAACUCUGUAUUGCGUUGGAAACUGCAUGACUAGAGUACUGGAGAGGUAAGCGGAACUACAAGUGUAGAGGUGAAAUUCGUAGAUAUUUGUAGGAAUGCCGAUGGGGAAGCCAGCUUACUGGACAGAUACUGACGCUAAAGCGCGAAAGCGUGGGUAGCAAACAGGAUUAGAUACCCUGGUAGUCCACGCCGUAAACGAUGAUUACUAGGUGUUGGGGGUCGAACCUCAGCGCCCAAGCUAACGCGAUAAGUAAUCCGCCUGGGGAGUACGUACGCAAGUAUGAAACUCAAAGGAAUUGACGGGGACCCGCACAAGCGGUGGAGCAUGUGGUUUAAUUCGACGCAACGCGAGGAACCUUACCAGCGUUUGACAUCUUAGGAAUGAGACAGAGAUGUUUCAGUGUCCUUUCGGGGAAACCUAAAGACAGGUGGUGCAUGGCUGUCGUCAGCUCGUGUCGUGAG